GGAAGGCAUGCACACCCGGUGGUGUGGCCGGGCUUCAAACCCGGUGAGGGGCGUCAGUCGCUCCUGGGUAGGUUCGACUCCUGCUGCCUUCCGCCA
Molecule: transfer RNA, 96 nt
Filed under: compost metagenome
Description: tRNA-Sec
Rfam family: Selenocysteine transfer RNA
Source: RNAcentral